GUGGUCUUCGGACCACAAUGGAUAGUGGCGCACGGGUGAGUAACGCGUGGGAACAUACCUUGGAGUACGGAAUAACUAAUGGAAACGCUAGCUAAUACCGUAUACGCCCUACGGGGGAAAGAUUUAUCGCUCCAAGAUUGGCCCGCGUCUGAUUAGUUUGUUGGUAGGGUAAUGGCCUACCAAGACUACGAUCAGUAGCUGGUUUGAGAGGAUGAUCAGCCACACUGGGACUGAGACACGGCCCAGACUCC
This 251-nucleotide ribosomal RNA is filed under the name uncultured bacterium. RNAcentral's name for it is "partial 16S ribosomal RNA". It matches the Rfam family "Bacterial small subunit ribosomal RNA", at positions 73 to 339 of the family's 1533-position model. The record is from RNAcentral.